RNAcentral lists this ribosomal RNA (520 nucleotides) under uncultured Glomus. RNAcentral describes it as "SSU rRNA". It matches the Rfam family "Eukaryotic small subunit ribosomal RNA", at positions 569 to 1089 of the family's 1831-position model. Lineage: Eukaryota; Fungi; Glomeromycota; Glomeromycetes; Glomerales; Glomeraceae. The record is from RNAcentral.
AGCAGCCGCGGUAAUUCCAGCUCCAAUAGCGUAUAUUAAAGUUGUUGCAGUUAAAAAGCUCGUAGUUGAAUUUCGGGAUCAAUACGUCGGUCGUGCUUUCGGGUACGUACUGGCGUCAUUGGUUUCUCCUUUCUGACGAACCAUGAUGUCAUUAAUUUGGUGUUAUGGGGAGUUAGGACUGUUACUUUGAAAAAUUAGAGUGUUUAAAGCAGGCUCACGCUUGAAUACAUUAGCAUGGAAUAAUGAAAUAGGACGUUUGAUUCUAUUUUGUUGGUUUCUAGGAUCGACGUAAUGAUUAAUAGGGAUAGUUGGGGGCAUUAGUAUUCAAUUGUCAGAGGUGAAAUUCUUGGAUUUAUUGAAGACUAACUACUGCGAAAGCAUUUGCCAAGGAUGUUUUCAUUAAUCAAGAACGAAAGUUAGGGGAUCGAAGACGAUCAGAUACCGUCGUAGUCUUAACCAUAAACUAUGCCGACUAGGGAUCGGAUGAUGUUAAUUUUUUAAUGUACUCAUUCGGCGCCUU